Long non-coding RNA from Mizuhopecten yessoensis (Yesso scallop), 1908 nucleotides. RefSeq lists it as uncharacterized. Lineage: Eukaryota; Metazoa; Mollusca; Bivalvia; Pectinida; Pectinidae. The record is from RefSeq and is a predicted model, not a curated record. The transcript is spliced from 2 exons.
AGGAGACGCCUCCUGCUAUGUAUAGCGUUGUGUGAGCGCUGGUUCUGUGUGAGGGUUGACAUAUAACUCACGACAGUGGCAGACGCUCUGGCAGUAGUUAUACGGACUCUGGUAGGGAGAUUCUGCAUGUCAGCGAAGGAGUUUAACUCUAUAUCGUCUGUUGGUACUAGAACUCACGGUUUAACAGAAAUCCCUGAUGUAUUGCUGGUAGAGGCUGGACACGCCGCGAGUGGACGUUUCCAUAGAAGAUACAUAUACCUGUAUGCUAUUUCUUUUACGCUGGUAAACGUAUCUGUAGUAAUUUCACUGGACUGGAAGUGUGUCGGAACGUACUGAUAGUAAAAACCUCUAGGCUGAUCACGCGCUGUUACGCUAGCCUUGUCACCGGACGUAUGUAUAGUAAAUCCCUAUAUGAUGCGCAUCAGGUGUUAUGGUAAAUUUCUAGAGGAUGUACAUACGAGUAAACAUUAUCUAUACAAGUGAACGUGUCUAUAGUAAACAUAUCUAGACUGGAUAAGCCAGUGUUCCGGAUACACGGAGGAAAUCGGGAUAAUUAUUUAUAUUUGAUCUGUUGCCGAAGGACGACGCAUGAGGUAACGUAGUCCACAACAGAAUGACAGAUCGCAACCAGAAAUAUCGCUUACAUUACUUGCUGCCCAUUGACUCGUGUUAAGAACGGAUGCAGAUGGCCAUUGUGAAAGGGAUGUGUAGUCAAAUAUUAAUCCCGACGUGACCUUGAAACCAAGGUGACGAUGAAGGUCAAACGGGAUACGUUCGAUACGGGUCAGCCGAUCUUCCAGCACCCGGAUGAUUACAGCGAAGAUCGGUAUAUGAUUCACGAAAUGAAAAUUUUCAUUAUUUUGGUGAUAGGUUUUGUUGUGAUACUGGCAUGUGUCCUCUACAUUAUAGUGCAGUGUAAACGGAAAGCCGGAUAUGCGGUCAAAUUCUGCCGGAACCGGAAGGAGUCAAGUGAUGUUAAAAAGCUUUUGGAUAACCAAGAGAGUGUUGAAAAUCUUCUUCAUGUGACGUCACCACAUCUCUCACGGAACCAAAUAAACAAAGAGUUCUACGUGUGACUAUGAUUAUUUGUGAUAUCGUGACGUCACUCACAAUGCAUAUGAAUAUGAAAGGGCGUGCCGAUAUUUUGUCAAACGAGGCAAUUAAAUGUUUGCAAGAGUGAUAAUAUCAGACGUGCACAUUGUGCAGAAACUACAAUAUGAUAAUUUGCCUCGUGGUUGUGAAUGGAAGUAAACGCCCCAAAGGUAAUAUCACACUAUGCACAAAAGGCCUGUAUAUUACACGGCCUGACGUCAGUCCGGUCGGGUAGUCUACUCUCUAUGCUCUAAGAUUGUCACCAAAUUCCCAAGUGCGUCUGAACCAUUUAUUGAAUAGAACAUCUAUGAAGUGUUUCAGAUGUAGGAUGUGGCAAGGAAGAAGUUGUAUCGCAUCAGUACGAAUACGUUAUAUUGCUGAAUGUUUAAUUAGACUGACUAAGCCUGAUCUAGAGUUGGGGCUUUGAAUAUUCAGGUAAGGAGCUAACAAUCGUGUACUGUAUGCUCACUUGCCGACGGUGUGUCCGUCUGUCCGGCAGGGAGGUCAUGUUGCUGCUGAGAAAAAGUGAUUUACAGCCUGCACCUACAUUUGGUGAGGGACAUUGACUAUUUAUCUUACGGAUAUUCUUUUAAUUUUUAUACUCAAGUUGAUUGUUUGUAAUCAUAGAUCUUUUGAACCUUUUUUACAUGUGUUCGAGCACGGAGAACCAAUCAGAUCCCUUAUCAUUGUCACGUGAGUGUGUGUUUUCAUACCUUUUUAUCAUAUUACUUUUAUGUAUUUUUCCUAUACAAUUCAAAAGAACUUAAAAUGUUAAUGCAAAAAAUGAAAGUUUGUGAAUUUUUUCUACAAUCAUAA